GUGACGCUUUGGGCAGGCCAUACGGACGCCAAAAAGUGUCCCUGGCCGCCUCCACCCACUAUACAUCCACAAACCCGUGUGCACUGUCUUGGAGAAAGGCUUCAGAGCAGUUUUUUGUGGCCUCUCUUGGGGUCUUUCUUCGCUACAAACUCGAAUGGUUAGUAUGAACGUGGAACGGGGUUGGACCGGCACGGGCCAACAAACGAUACA
RNAcentral lists this unclassified non-coding RNA (210 nucleotides) under uncultured Malassezia. Its description in RNAcentral is "sequence contains ITS1". Lineage: Eukaryota; Fungi; Basidiomycota; Malasseziomycetes; Malasseziales; Malasseziaceae. The record is from RNAcentral.